UCUGGAAUAGAGUUUAAAUACAGUGAAGUUAGCAUUCAGA
Molecule: non-coding RNA, 40 nt
Organism: Oreochromis niloticus (Nile tilapia)
Lineage: Eukaryota; Metazoa; Chordata; Actinopteri; Cichliformes; Cichlidae
Source: Rfam